GUUAUGAUAAACUGAUCAUGCUGCAACUAACCUUAGGCCAAAAAUAGUACGAAUAAUAACUAUGUUUGAUGCCUAAUGCUAUUCCUAUUGAGACCUUACCCGAGUAUGUUGUGAUCAAUUCUGAAAGCUCUCAUUGUGGCCAGGAAAUCUACUAGUUAAGAAAUUGGUGUAUUUGGUUUAAAAUUUCCUCCUCGUUCCUUUCCGUGUCUCACCAACUUUUGACUCUGUUCCUGUUGCAUAUUUUUCUCUACUUACUGAGCAGAAGUGCAUCUUUUUUUCUUUGUUUAAACUCCAUGUUAUUGCAUGGCUUAACUUUUUUCUGAUUCCUUGAUUGUUUACUUCGUUAUCUUGGGAAAUUUCAAGACAAAAAGCCAUUAGCCACAUAGUUUUUAACACUAUUGUCGUGUGCCAAUCAUUUGUCUUAGGAUUCCUGUAUUUGUCCUCUAUAGAAAGCCGGUGAAUUGGAGUGGCAUGUGAAGUUAAUCCAAUUGUACUCCUUUAUUACAGAGACAGGAAGUGUUUGCUAUGAAAAGGACAUGGAGAGGAAAAGGCUUACCUGAUUGGUUGCUUG
Molecule: long non-coding RNA, 571 nt
Filed under: Solanum tuberosum (potato)
Lineage: Eukaryota; Viridiplantae; Streptophyta; Magnoliopsida; Solanales; Solanaceae
Description: long non-coding RNA (STUB_LNC004111)
Source: RNAcentral